CAUUACAGUACCAACAACAUGAGAUUUGGAGGGUGUGUGUGUUAUUGAAAGACAUGUAGAGGAGACUAGUGCUGAUCACACACAUCCACUUAUUGUGGCCACAUUCUGGUCCAACCGUGAACUGACCAUUCAUGUACAUGCUUUGUUGAUGCUCUUUGUUUAUCAUGUUUAAAGACGAGUACAUAUAUGCCAAAUUGGUCUUUCACGCAAGCUUUAUACAGGCAAUUUCAAUUUCUCACACUGAAAUUGUUCUUGGAAUGAAUCACCAUAAUUAAUUACAUAAAAUGGUUUUGCUGGCAAAAAGAAAAUUAACAGGAGCAAUGUUUUUCAUCUGACAUUAUCAACAAAUGAAAUUCUUCUUUUGAGUACACAAAUUACGGGAAUGUUUUGCAGAUACUCCUUUGAUUUCCUGCUUGUAUCUACAUCCUUGACACAAACCCCAGAUAAUUAUUAACUUGUUGCUGAAUAUGCUACAAAAAUGGAGUGUCAAAAUUGUGAGAAGGAGUUUGUUAAAAAUGCACUCCGAUUAUUCCAGCUAUGGCUUGUAACUACUGGAGUCAUGACCAUGAGCAUCAAUCUAAUCAGCUGGGAUUUGAUGACAUACAUCAACUAAGUCGGUCAUUGUGUCAAUGGUAAAUCAAUGUCCAGGUUCAGAUAACACCAGUACUUAAAUUGUUUGUGGAUAGGUGUUUUUUGUCUUUGCCAUGUUCAAAUAUAUCCAUGGUCUUUUUGCAUAAACUUUUGUGCAGUGUGUUGAGACUGAAUGAGAGCUUGCCAAAUUGUAAAUUGUAAUGUCAGUUGUUGCAUUGUUUCAUGUGCUCAUGAAAUAAAUAAAUGAAACAAAUUUAUUCCCAA
Haliotis rubra (blacklip abalone) is the source of this 855-nucleotide long non-coding RNA. RefSeq lists it as uncharacterized. The transcript is spliced from 2 exons. The record is from RefSeq and is a predicted model, not a curated record. NCBI's taxonomy places the organism in Eukaryota, Metazoa, Mollusca, Gastropoda, Lepetellida, Haliotidae.